GCUGAGUAAGGCUAGCGGCGCAGGGUUCAGGCCCCUGUCCCGUAGGGGUUCGUGGGUUCAAAUCCCACCCCCCGCA
This 76-nucleotide transfer RNA is filed under the name Candidatus Caldarchaeum subterraneum. RNAcentral describes it as "Candidatus Caldiarchaeum subterraneum (hot springs metagenome) tRNA-Leu". It matches the Rfam family "tRNA", at positions 10 to 71 of the family's 71-position model. Rfam says of the family: Transfer RNA (tRNA) molecules are approximately 80 nucleotides in length. Their secondary structure includes four short double-helical elements and three loops (D, anti-codon, and T loops). The record is from RNAcentral. Lineage: Archaea; Thermoproteati; Nitrososphaerota; Candidatus Caldarchaeales; Candidatus Caldarchaeaceae.